This 496-nucleotide ribosomal RNA is filed under the name uncultured bacterium. RNAcentral's name for it is "partial 16S ribosomal RNA". It matches the Rfam family "Bacterial small subunit ribosomal RNA", at positions 29 to 507 of the family's 1533-position model. The record is from RNAcentral.
AUGAACGCUGGCGGCGUGCCUCAUACCUGCCAGUCGAGCGAACGGACGAGAAGCUUGCUUUUCUGAUGUUAGCGGCGGACGGGUGAGUAACACGUGGAUAACCUACCUAUAAGACUGGGAUAACUUCGGGAAACCGGAGCUAAUACCGGAUAAUAUUUUGAACCGCAUGGUUCAAAAGUGAAAGACGGUCUUGCUGUCACUUAUAGAUGGAUCCGCGCUGCAUUAGCUAGUUGGUAAGGUAACGGCUUACCAAGGCAACGAUGCAUAGCCGACCUGAGAGGGUGAUCGGCCACACUGGAACUGAGACACGGUCCAGACUCCUACGGGAGGCAGCAGUAGGGAAUCUUCCGCAAUGGGCGAAAGCCUGACGGAGCAACGCCGCGUGAGUGAUGAAGGUCUUCGGAUCGUAAAACUCUGUUAUUAGGGAAGAACAUAUGUGUAAGUAACUGUGCACAUCUUGACGGUACCUAAUCAGAAAGCCACGGCUAACUACGUG